GGGAGCAGUUCUGUAAAUCCCUGCUGGGAGCAGAGACUGCGAAAAGCUGAGUCCGCCGAUCGUGCCCGGGACAAGGCUGCCUUCCACUCGCCCUCGCCGCAUCUACCUGGUAGGCGGCAUGCGCACGGGCUUAGAGGCUUGAGAGCCUCUGGAAGAGAAAGGGUCCCAGGAAGGAAACCUGCCCCCGGCCUAAGUGUCGGCGCCCAGAUCACCACGAACCCCGCACCUAGGCGCCGCCCACCAAGUUCCAAAGAAGUCCGAGGCGACCUGGGAGUCGGUCGGAUCCCAGCCGAGAAAAGAAACAAGCAGGAUAGCAAUUCUUAGGGGAGCCACCCUGGGAGUUUUAGGCAGCGUUUGCCUUUCCCUGGUUUUCUUCACCAAGCCCCAUCCUCCCCCCGCAUACCACCCCCAGUCAAAAGAGUGGGAGAAAAUGCACAGUUCGAAGUCGGUGAGAGCAAAAAUGGGUCUAGUAAAUCAACCCGUGGUGGUAGCUAAAAGGUUUGGGGCUGCAAAGAAACAAACUGUAAGUUUUGAGCAACAAACUUUUUCUUCAAUCUGUAAUAUGUCGAAAUGGGAAGGGGGUGUUGCAAAAGCCAACUACCACUGUCAAACUUAGCCCGUUUACAACAUGGGGAAAGGCGUAUUUCUUACUAAUAUCUCAACAACGAUAACAAUGCUGUAUCCUUCCUUACCUUGAUGUUGAACUGCGAAUCCUCCUCCGGAUCAAUGUCCAGGAACUUAGAAGAAUUGGUGAUAUUAGGAGUUCAGUACUUCUGGAAAAAAAUGCAAAUGGUUUAGCCAGGAUCUUUCCUGUCUGAUUCGUCACUAUUAUUAUAUCUGAUGAUGCGAAUGGUUGGAGCGAUUCAAUCCUAAGUCAUUAAUGAGCUAUUUUAUAAACACCACUGUCUGAAGAUCUUCAUUUACAUUUUGCUAAGGAUCACUUCGCUAACCUCACAGGCUUGUGUCAACAGCAUGAUUUGCAGGACUUCAGUUACACUCUUAUAAACAACACGGCUGUAUUGUUAAUCGGUUAAUAUUUUAUAAAGUGUAAAUAUUUUAUUAUGUUUUGAAGGGAACUAUUGAUUCUAAAUUAUUAAACCCCUGAGAAGGACUAUUUAAAUGAAAUAUACAAUUAAGUACAAUUAAAUGUACAUUGUGGUUAGUUUGUUUUCAGAUUCUGCACCCUUUUAAAUUCAUUGCUUUUCUCUUUACUGGAGUUUCCUCUUGUCCAUUUCUGAUACUGAAAAAAAUCUAUCAUGUUAGGAAAAAGCCUAAAUUAUUUAAAGUUGCAUUAAACUUAGAGGAAAAUGUCAAAUACGAUUAAUUAUGACCAGAAAUGUAUUUUGGAUGUUUGUAGAGUUGUAUUUCAUAUCACAUUUUACAAAUUUCUUCCGAUUUAAAGGAGAGUUCUAGGAAGUUUUGUGAUCUAUGUCCGGUGUGGGUUUUUGUCCUCUCGAGUUUUGUCUCUAAUAAAGGCCUUUUUUGUUUCAAAUUACAUACGCUUUUUACUGCACAAUUUUUGUAUUGACCUUAUUUCAACUGAAGCGAUUAUUUCCAGCAGGUUUAAUUUCGACAAUAAGAUAUAUUUUAAUAGUUUUACCUUUCGCUAGAAUUUUGUAUUGUUUAAAACAGUAAAUGAAUAAAUUUGCUGAUGAUUCAAGAA
Long non-coding RNA from Homo sapiens (human), 1663 nucleotides. Ensembl annotates it as SATB2 antisense RNA 1. Its record names the gene SATB2-AS1. The record is from Ensembl. Lineage: Eukaryota; Metazoa; Chordata; Mammalia; Primates; Hominidae.